Molecule: non-coding RNA, 1363 nt
Organism: Oryza sativa Japonica Group (Japanese rice)
Lineage: Eukaryota; Viridiplantae; Streptophyta; Magnoliopsida; Poales; Poaceae
Source: RefSeq, a predicted model, not a curated record
CCCGUCCCCCCGCAUUGACCUAGCAAAGUUUCCUUUCCCCAAUCAAUCGCCAAUCCCCCUCCUCAAUCUCUCCUCCUAUUUUCUCCUCUCGCCGCCGUUUCGCCUGGCAAAUCUGCAUGCCAAGCCGCGAUGCCAUGCCAUGGCAAGGCCAGGAUGGGUCUGAAUUUGUCGUGUCAUAUCCACUCGAGUCGCGAGUUGGCCGGACGCCGAGGAGAGUAGCCGCGGAUCUGACUGCAUGACGCGGUCAGCGGGCCUGGAUUCCUACGAAAGGAGCCGCCUUUGAUCUAUAAUCGGAGGAAUAUGAAGGAUUAAAUACCUUAACAACUGCCAAGGCACCAUUGUUCUCUACGGUGCAGAAGCGAGCCUAAAGUGCCGCUCAUUUUGGUUUAUAAUCGGAUUAGUCUUUGUUCAGCUGAUCUGCGCAAUCCAAUACCGAGUCGUGAAGGAACAUGCUGAUGAUGCAUUCUAUGAAUUGCAGAAUCCCCAACAGCAAAUUCAGGCCUAUGCCUUUGAUGGUAAACUAUUAACAUUGAGCAAUUAAAUAGUUGCCCAUAUCAAAUUAUUGACUCAAAGCUUAAUCACUUUCCCCUCGAACUUAGUGGUCCUGGCCCUAGUUCCAAGAAUGAAUCUUGAUGACCUUUUUGAGUAAAAGAAUGAUGUGGUGAAGACUGUACUUGAGGAGCUUGAAAAGGUAACUCAAGUGCCUGUUUUUACUGAUGUUGGAUAUUCCAUCGAACAUAUUCUUAUGGUUGAUAUCAUCCCUGAUACUUCUGUACGCAGAGCAAUGAAUGACAUAAAUGCAGCCCAAAGUCUUCAGCUUGCAAGUGUCUACAAAGGGGAAGCAGAAAAGAUUCUUCUGGUGAAGAAAUCAGAAGCAGAGGCAAAAAUACCUUUCUGGUGAUGGCAUUGCUAAACAGAGGCAGGCUGAUGGCCUGAGACAGUACCACAGCAAAAGAAGUCAUGGACCUAAUCAUGGUCACGCAGUACUUUGACACCAUAAAAGAACUUGGGGAUGGCUCGAAGAACACAACGGUGUUCAUACCUCAAGGCCCAGGCCAUGUCAAGGAUAUCAGCGAGCAAAUCCGGAAUGGUAUGAUGGAAGCGUCAAGCAACAAUGUGUAAAUUGUAGCGAUUCACAGAACAAGGUUGGGGAUGGUUCAGAUGGGAGGAGCCUGUUGUUUAUAAUGAAUAUAUUACCUUUUGUUUAUAGCCUGUUGUCAAGCAACACUAGCACCUUUUGUUUGCACACCUACCUGGAUGAUAGAAUAUGUAGUUUUGGAAUAACAAAUAAUGUUUGGAAGGUAUAAAAGGAACAGGAUAUAUAUUAAGUUAAGGAAACUGCAUCGAUUUAUACACAUUAAAA